GAGGAUAAUACUGGAUAGGCAAUUUUUCCUGUAAUGGUUUUUUGUUUAAAUGUUUUUUCGCCUAAGGAUGGGUCUGCGGCCGAUUAGGUAGUUGGUUAGGUAAUGGCUUACCAAGCCGUUGAUCGGUACGGGUUGUGAGAGCAAGAGCCCGGAGAUGGAACCUGAGACAAGGUUCCAGGCCCUACGGGGUGCAGCAGGCGCGAAACCUCCGCAAUGUGAGAAAUCGCGACGGGGGGAUCCCAAGUGUCAUUCUUAACGGGAUGGCUUUUCAUUAGUGUAAAGAGCUUUUGGAAUAAGGGCUGGGCAAGACCGGUGCCAGCCGCCGCGGUAACACCGGCAGCUCUAGUGGUAGCAAUUUUUAUUGGGCCUAAAGCGUCCGUAGCCGGUUUAAUAAGUCUCUGGUGAAAUCCUGUAGCUUAACUGUGGGAAUUGCUGGAGAUACUAUUAGACUUGAGACCGGGAGAGGUUGGAGGUACUCCCAGGGUAGAGGUGAAAUUCUGUAAUCCUGGGAGGACCGCCUGUUGCGAAGGCGUCUAACUGGAACGGUUCUGACGGUGAGGGACGAAAGUUAGGGGCGCGAACCGGAUUAGAUACCCGGGUAGUCCUAACUGUAAACGAUGCGGACUUGGUGUUGGGGUGGCCUUGAGCUGCUCCAGUGCCGAAGGGAAGCUGUUAAGUCCGCCGCCUGGGAAGUACGGUCGCAAGACUGAAACUUAA
This 717-nucleotide ribosomal RNA is filed under the name uncultured archaeon. Its description in RNAcentral is "bacterial SSU rRNA". It matches the Rfam family "Archaeal small subunit ribosomal RNA", at positions 142 to 859 of the family's 1478-position model. The record is from RNAcentral.